GAUGAACGCUGGCGGCGUGCCUAAUACAUGCAAGUCGAGCGAACAGAUAAGGAGCUUGCUCCUUUGACGUUAGCGGCGGACGGGUGAGUAACACGUGGGUAACCUACCUAUAAGACUGGAAUAACUCCGGGAAACCGGGGCUAAUGCCGGAUAAUAUUUAGAACCGCAUGGUUCUAUAGUGAAAGAUGGUUUUGCUAUCACUUAUAGAUGGACCCGCGCCGUAUUAGCUAGUUGGUAAGGUAACGGCUUACCAAGGCAACGAUACGUAGCCGACCUGAGAGGGUGAUCGGCCACACUGGAACUGAGACACGGUCCAGACUCCUACGGGAGGCAGCAGUAGGGAAUCUUCCGCAAUGGGCGAAAGCCUGACGGAGCAACGCCGCGUGAGUGAUGAAGGUCUUCGGAUCGUAAAACUCUGUUAUUAGGGAAGAACAAAUGUGUAAGUAACUGUGCACGUCUUGACGGUACCUAAUCAGAAAGCCACGGCUAACUACGUG
This 497-nucleotide ribosomal RNA is filed under the name uncultured bacterium. RNAcentral's name for it is "partial 16S ribosomal RNA". It matches the Rfam family "Bacterial small subunit ribosomal RNA", at positions 28 to 507 of the family's 1533-position model. The record is from RNAcentral.